RNAcentral lists this ribosomal RNA (460 nucleotides) under uncultured bacterium. RNAcentral describes it as "partial 16S ribosomal RNA". It matches the Rfam family "Bacterial small subunit ribosomal RNA", at positions 338 to 795 of the family's 1533-position model. The record is from RNAcentral.
CCUACGGGAGGCAGCAGUGAGGAAUAUUGGUCAAUGGGCGUAAGCCUGAACCAGCCAAGUCGCGUGAGGGAUGAAGGUUCUAUGGAUCGUAAACCUCUUUUAUAAGGGAAUAAAGUGUGGGACGUGUCCUAUUUUGUAUGUACCUUAUGAAUAAGGAUCGGCUAACUCCGUGCCAGCAGCCGCGGUAAUACGGAGGAUCCGAGCGUUGUCCGGAUUUAUUGGGUUUAAAGGGUGCGUAGGCGGCCUUUUAAGUCAGCGGUGAAAAUUUGGGGCUCAACCAUAAAAUUGCCGUUGAUACUGGUGGUCUUGAGUAUAGUUGAGGCAGGCGGAAUGCGUGGUGUAGCGGUGAAAUGCUUAGAUAUCACGCAGAACCCCGAUUGCGAAGGCAGCCUGCCAAGCCAUGACUGACGCUGAUGCACGAAAGCGUGGGGAUCAAACAGGAUUAGAUACCCGAGUAGUC